This 1281-nucleotide long non-coding RNA is filed under the name Musa acuminata (dwarf banana). RNAcentral describes it as "long non-coding RNA (MACU_LNC005507)". Lineage: Eukaryota; Viridiplantae; Streptophyta; Magnoliopsida; Zingiberales; Musaceae. The record is from RNAcentral.
UUGGAUUUUCCAUAUGAUGAGGGGGUUUUGAAUGCACCUUUGGAGAAAGAGUUGCAAGGAGGCCAUGCACGACUGAGUGGAUUGUUUCUUCCACACCAGGGCAAGUUGGUUCCGAAAGUUCUGCAACCUGCACAAGAAACCAUGCAAAAUGUACAAAGGUAGCCAAAAAAGUCAUCGCCUACUGAUUGAUUCUACUGCAGCUGAUGUAUGACGGUAUGAAAUUUUAAAGCAUGGAAACACAGGUUUGGAACUGUAUACCUAAGCUUCAUAAGUAAGAUUUAUACAUCUUUUUGCUUAAUUUUAUGUUACUCGAUGUGUUAUUUUUCACAUUAAUCAAAAUUAAGUUGUUACACAUAUAAGCUUGCCAGUCAAUGACUCUAAUCUGCAUAUCAACAGUUUUGUAUGGUUCAUGAAUAUACGCUAUCACAUGGAAAAUAUUCAGUGCACCAACAGUGAAAAUUUUAGAAACAUUAUCAAUAUUUGUAAUAGUAAAAAUGGAAGCAACAAAGAGAAUCACCAAAUAUUGGACAACAUAUAACUCCAUAAUCCAUAUCACACAACAGUCAUUUCUAGAACUGCAGGAACCCAAAUAUCAUAUAAUUCAAAUUCUUUACAAAAUUUGUCAACUAUUGUUGAUGCAUAUAAAAAAUCGAGUAAUAUAGAUAAACUUUACAAUUGAACUUUCAGAUAUUUGAGAGGGCAAGUCCUCGCAUAUUAUGACCUAGAUGAUCAGAGUUCAAAUCACAGAAACAAUCUUCCCCAUAGAAGCUGCAUCGAUUGAGCCUCCUAGACCCCACAAUGAUAAUAGUAGGCUCAUCCAUUUGACUGCCCUUUUCUUUGACCUAGUCACAAUAUAUUGUUACUAAUUUAUAUAAAAAAUUAUUAACUGUUGUUCCUGUUUUAUAGUUUACUAGUAUCUCCAACUCUGACAGUCAAUUGGCUCAAUUGCAGUUAAGAACACUUUGUGCCACACUUUGUUUGGCAUUAAAGUAAUGUAUGUAGUGAAAUUAUAGCUUUAUGUUAGCAAUACCUGUCAUCCAAGUCUCUCAAUGAAAUUUCCAUAUGGGUGAAAGAAAGUUUGAGGAUAAAUUGGUAGCUGAAAAUUACUUGCUAACACAAUCAUUUGGGUAAGGCUACAAAGAUAAUAAAUAUACCAAAUGCAGUGGCUAACCUUCUCAGGUUGCAAUGAUCUUAGAUAAUCCAACAAAUCAUUCUUUUCUUCUCCUACAAAAUUUUGCAUCUGUAGAGCAGUGUUCCUCCUUUUGAUGUCGCAAAGCUCCU